RNAcentral lists this long non-coding RNA (566 nucleotides) under Brachypodium distachyon (stiff brome). RNAcentral describes it as "long non-coding RNA (BDIS_LNC000745)". Lineage: Eukaryota; Viridiplantae; Streptophyta; Magnoliopsida; Poales; Poaceae. The record is from RNAcentral.
UUCGGUUGUCCCCCUCCCACGCGCACACCCCUAGCUGCUAAUUCAGCUGCCAAAGCUUCCUUUGCAGCUUGUUCCUGUAAAAGAAAUCAGCAGACAGUUACACCCUCCGCUGAGAAACUGAGAACCACCUCAUAGGAUAGCUCUUCUCAAAUAUAUUACUGGGAAGCUUCUGGAUCAUAUAUGAACGGCAUGGCGCAAGUGGACAGAAAACAGCUAAAUUGCAAACUGUGGCAGUAAAUACAUUGAGAAACACCAAAUCCCAUUCUUGUUGGAACCUAACACCCAAGAAGUAUGUAGGAUUGGAUAAGAUGGGUGCCAGAAAUUCAGGUUUUGAACAAUAAGAAAACACAGCAUACUCUCCUUACGAUUUUUCAUCUCCCACCAAACAGAUGAACUAAUGGUAGCUAGCAAUUCAAAGGUCAUCUUAUGCAGGAAAGAUGGAUCAGCAAGCAUUCUGCAAUUUAGAGAACGGAAGGCAAUUUUUAAUUUGCAAAAAUCACAAGGGACAUUCUUACAUUACACGUAAUCAGGGUGCACACUGAUGCUAUUUUAUCAGUGAAGUAAUA